UGAAUGUAAACUUACAGGAAUAUUGACUGCCCCAACAUCAACACGAGGUCAUGGAGUUCUUAUGGGUUAGGCUACCAAAAAAGCAAAUGCAUUUGUUGAUAUGAGUAGUCAAAUCAAUUCAUUUAAAUUAUCCUUCAACCGUAUAGUCUCAUACCUAUACAGUCUUUAGAUCUCUCUCAUUUCGGUGUAUGUUCGAUUCUUUCAUGUGUCCCUUCCACUAAAAGCUGUCAGGAGCCUCUCUUUGUUUGUACUUCUCGCACUCCGUGUCUCUUGCACCAACACCCG
RNAcentral lists this long non-coding RNA (285 nucleotides) under Vigna radiata. RNAcentral describes it as "long non-coding RNA (VRAD_LNC007089)". Lineage: Eukaryota; Viridiplantae; Streptophyta; Magnoliopsida; Fabales; Fabaceae. The record is from RNAcentral.